This is a long non-coding RNA of Lycium ferocissimum, 759 nucleotides long. RefSeq lists it as uncharacterized. The record is from RefSeq and is a predicted model, not a curated record. The transcript has 3 exons. NCBI's taxonomy places the organism in Eukaryota, Viridiplantae, Streptophyta, Magnoliopsida, Solanales, Solanaceae.
AUAAGUCUCCUCCAUCAAUAAAAUCCUCAUAGAGUUCGUGGUCUAUGUCGGCAUCGCAAUAUUUCUCUCUAACUUAUCUUUAUCAUCAUUAAAAUAUUGGUGUUCUUUAAAUUUUAUUAUUGUUCUAAUUUUUGUUUUCAGUAGUCUAGAAUUUUUCAUACUUUGUUUUGAUUAGUGAAUCUUAUUUGAUUUUUUUUGUGUCUGUGUUAUACAUGUUUGAAUAUCUUCACUAUUUUUCUCAUGUUUUGCAAGAACAACAGUAAUGGACGAAACAAAAGUCUUACUAGAUUUCUCCCUAAUUCUGGCCAUGCUACUGGUCAGUCAGUCAGGCAGUUGCAUUUUUUUUCGAGGUACUAGUGUAGUUGAGAGAAGAACAGGGCUUCUUGGAUUGGCGGUAUGCUUAGGGUUGACAAUCUUUUUUUAGUACAGGACGUUGAAGCUCGUAUGGAAGAUGAUUCGGUGCACAUAUGGUUGGACCAAGUUCCGCAUCUUUGUUCAUAAUGUACAUAAAUUAGACGAAGAUAGUGAGGAUUCAAUACAUGUGGAUGAGAGACAAACUCACCGCCAUUGCUUGAGGAGAAAAGUACUGAACCUAUUCGGGUCUUUGUCGAAUCCUACUAUUUGUUUGUGUUGCUAUUGCACAAAUGCAAUGUAAAUUUUUGGUUCUUUUUUUCUUGAUAAAGGUAGCUUCUAUUCCAACUUGCGCGUACCUUGAUAUAAUUAUUCAACUGCGGUUCCUAGAUGACUCUGUCCACCAAG